This 360-nucleotide unclassified non-coding RNA is filed under the name Pouteria eugeniifolia. RNAcentral's name for it is "partial contains external transcribed spacer and 18S ribosomal RNA". Lineage: Eukaryota; Viridiplantae; Streptophyta; Magnoliopsida; Ericales; Sapotaceae. The record is from RNAcentral.
UCCUGUGUUAUUUGCCUAACGUGACAGAAAUUGAUCCCGGAUGAGUCAUACUUUUCGCCUCUUACCAAUUCGUGGUGUUAAGUCAACGUGAAGUACUGCCCAUUGUCCUUGAAUGCUUUGCCCUUUCGCAUUGCAAUCAUGGCCCGUGGGUUGCUAUUAGUUCCCUCGGAUGCAAAACUUUUGAAGGGUGCAUAGCAUGUUGCUAUUGUUUACCCAUAAAACAUUUUUAGCUCGAUGCGUAUGACAGUUGUGCCUGCCUUGGUCCCGUCUUUAACUAGUUUGGACGGGUCUUAUGUGGUGUUGACAUCACAGAGGAGUACUACCUGGUUGAUUUUGCCAGUAGUGAUAUUCUUGUCUUAA